GACGAACGCUGGCGGCGUGCUUAACACAUGCAAGUCGAACGAAGAGCGACGGAAGCUUGCUUCUAUCAAUCUUAGUGGCGAACGGGUGAGUAACGCGUAAUCAACCUGCCCUUCAGAGGGGGACAACAGUUGGAAACGACUGCUAAUACCGCAUACGAUCUAAUCUCGGCAUCGAGGAUAGAUGAAAGGUGGCCUCUACAUGUAAGCUAUCACUGAAGGAGGGGAUUGCGUCUGAUUAGCUAGUUGGAGGGGUAACGGCCCACCAAGGCGAUGAUCAGUAGCCGGUCUGAGAGGAUGAACGGCCACAUUGGGACUGAGACACGGCCCAGACUCCUACGGGAGGCAGCAGUGGGGAAUCUUCCGCAAUGGACGAAAGUCUGACGGAGCAACGCCGCGUGAGUGAUGACCGGCUUCGGGUUGUAAAGCUCUGUUAAUCGGGACGAAAGGCCUUCUUGCAAAUAGUGAGAAGGAUAGACG
RNAcentral lists this ribosomal RNA (477 nucleotides) under Veillonella parvula. Its description in RNAcentral is "bacterial SSU rRNA". It matches the Rfam family "Bacterial small subunit ribosomal RNA", at positions 28 to 474 of the family's 1533-position model. Lineage: Bacteria; Bacillati; Bacillota; Negativicutes; Veillonellales; Veillonellaceae. The record is from RNAcentral.